AUGACAAUCCAUCGAUUUGUAGAGAUAUUUCAGUCUGGAUCAACGUGGGGGACUGAAAACAUAGAGCUAUGCCACAUGACAAUAACCAUUAUUAUUUACUACAAGUUGAAACUAAUUUUUUCUCCAGGCUAUGCAGAGUUGAUGUUAAGGGAGCUGACAGAGAGCCAAUCACUGGAGCUCUCCUGUUCCCCUCAUCAGGACCACGGCAGCCCGACGGGCCUCCACCUUUACCACCGCAGCGCCCAGAGCCAAACAACCCUUCUGUCGAUGGCUAAGGGCAGCGAGUUCAGGGUCAGUCCGGACCACAGGGGGCGUUUGCAGCUCCGUGGAGGACUGGACUCCCUGCGAGUCAAUGUGACAAUAUCCCAUUUACAGCCCAGUGACACAGGACUCUACAUUUGGGAGCUGAGCUACGGAGAGGAGAGAAGCUUAGACCAGAUCAAACUCAGCGAACAAAAGGUCUUCUUGUUGGUUCAAGGGACAGGGAGGUCAUGUCCGUGCAGUUACCCUCCUCUACUCUUGACCAUCUUUACAGCAGCAGGGCUUCUUCUACUCAUUCUCAGCUGGGUGGCCAUAGAGAAAUGUGUGAAGACAAGGAGUCAACACAGACCACAUCCUUCUGCACCUAUCUAUGAGGAAAUGACCAGGAAGCAGCAGAGCCCCGGCAUCCCCCAAAAUAACCACGAGGACCCCCCCGCACACCUGGAGGAAGUCAACUUCCCUGUGUAUGCUAACCCCAACAUCCGACAACCACAGGACAACUAUUACGCCUGUCCCAGACAGCUUGCUCUCAGAGCAUGA
This is a long non-coding RNA of Dicentrarchus labrax (European seabass), 801 nucleotides long. NCBI's taxonomy places the organism in Eukaryota, Metazoa, Chordata, Actinopteri, Moronidae. The record is from Ensembl.